UACGACUAAUUCCUUAUUACCACUCCAUUCAUUCCCAACAUGAAGAAUGAAACAAAUGGACAUGUUUAAUUACCGCCUUGCAAGAUCCUUGAAUUGAACUGAGAGUUUAUGCUAACCAAGACUGCAACAGCUUCGUGUCUGCAUCCAUGCUCACUCCAGUUCUCAGGUUUCAGUUGAAAUUAUUUUCUUUUUCCUGCUGGAACAGUCAAAUGCAAUAACACCUGGUAGAAAAUUCAAUCAGCUCAAGAGCUUCCUUGCUUCUGCCUUUUUUCAACAUUGAAUUCAACGUCCAGGAGGUUCGUUAUGCCAGCAGUUAUCUUUUGACCUACUUUAACUGGGCCAACACCUUUGGGAGUGCCUGCAGAAACAGUGCCAAAAUGUGUUCAGCCGGACGUCAAAAGUAUUUGUGACUCCUAGGCAAGGGGAGGAAAACCUUAGAAGCAGAUGUAAACCGUCUACCUGUUAGUAUUACAUCUCCUUCAAGAAGUGUCAUAAUAGAGCUUAUGUGGCCGAUGAGAAAUGGGAGCUUAAAUAUCAUGUCCUUGGUUGAGCCUUUCUGCCUCAAUUCUCCAUCUACCUAUGGUGAAGCAAAUUAAUUUGAACACAUCAGAAGUGGUGACCAAUUCAAAAACCAGGACACAAAUAAAGAAGGUUGUAGAAAAGGAAACACUAACCUUCAGCCACAAUUCUAUAUUGUCCGGGUCUGGCACCAUUUCCUUGGGUAGCUGCAUGAAGUUUGGAGAGUCAAAUAGCUUAGCAUGCUUAAAAAAUUUAAAAGAUAAAAGAAAAUGGCUGUUUAUAGAGAUAGAACAGUUUACCUCCCAAACUGAAAAAUAAAUAAAGAGGUCAUUUGGUACGAGGGACUGUCAUGGACUGGAUUAAGUAUUGAUACUGUCUUGGAUCGGCUUGGCUUGGCAUAAGCUGGAUAACACUUGUACAGCGUUUGGUGUAUGUUUAAUUGGACUAGGACUAUUAAUAUUUUUUUUUGAAAAGUAAGAUUUUUUUAUAUUUUUUUGACUUUUCUUCUCUCUCCAUGUCUUUCUUCCUCUAUGCAUCUCGUUUUUUUCAUUUUGGACGAACCUCUCUGCUCCUCCUUCUUCUUCUCCUCUGCAUCUCUUUAUCUUCUUCUUCUCCAUUUUCUCUCCUCUUCUUUUGUCUACUUUUCUUUUCUUUUCUUUUCUUUUCAAAAAAUUUCUCCCAUCUUUUCUAUUUUUUUCUAAAAUUUUCUCUCCUCCUCUUCUCCAUUUUCUUUCCUCUUCUCCUCCAUUUUCUUUCUUCUUCUCUAUUUUUUUCGAAAAUUUCUCUCAUCUCUUCUUCUCCAUUUUCUCUCCUCUCCUCUGUUUUGUUUUUAGAAAAUUUUCUGUUCUCUCCUCUUCCUCUUCUAUUCUGUCAUCUCCUUCUUGGGUGGCUGUGGCUGUGGCUGGUGGCUGUGGCUUGUGGUCGUGGUUGGUGGUCAUGGCGGGUGGUUGUAUCUGGUGGUUGGGAAUGGUGGUUGUGGCUGCUGCUUGGUUGGUCGUUGGUUGUGGGGCGAUUGGGUGUGGUUGCUAGUUGCUUGGGUCAUCGGGACUGUUAGUCCCUCCUCUCCAGAUGGGUUUAGCUAAGAACACCUAAGGAGGUGUUUUUGGUGGGCCCAGUAUUAGCUAAUCCCAUUUAAAAUUAGAACUGGGUGAAACAAACAUGGGAUAAAACUUGAGCCAAGCCAGUCCAAGCUUGCACGGUGUAACAAAUAGGCCCAAAUAGUAAUUGUGGUAAAACUCCAAGUCUACAACUAUACCGACACUCGUAGCUCCACAGGGGAUCCAGAAAAUGUUAGCGAGAUCCUAGUGUAAUUAGGAGAUUUACUUCAUAAUAUAUUAUGAUUCUAUUUAUUUCCUUUUGUAUAGAUAUUAUAUAAUUAGGAUUUUAUCUUAGUUUCCUAGUAUAACCCUACUAGGGUUUGUACUCUUGUAUUAUAAAUACCUCAUUUUGGAGAAUGAAAUAUAAUCCGAAAAUAUUCUACCCACUUUGUUUGACAUGGUAUCAGAGCAAACUUUUCUAGUGGCCUGUGUGUUGUGCCCACCCGUAUUAUAGCCCCAUAUUUUUUUCUCUACCUGUGCUGUGUGUGCCCCCCUCUGGGUUUGUGAGUUGUGUUGUCAUGUUCGUACCCAAUCAUGUCUUCGUGCAUCUGUCGUAUUUGUGCCUUUGCUAUUGUAACACCCCGACCCCAAAUUUAACCCUUAUUUAAUUAUUUAAUUAUUUAAGGGCAUUUUGGUCAUAUUUUUAACCUGAGAGAGUUUGGGGCAAUGACUAGUAUUUUUGGAUAGGUCGUACUGCGACGAGUUCAUAGACACGUAGUGGGCUCGAAUCGGAGUUGUAACGAGAGAGAUAUGGUCAAAAGAAAUCUAGUGGCACAAUCGUAAAUAUUUCAAAAUGAGAUUUUUAUAAAAACUCAGAUUUCUCUCUCUCUCUCUCUCUCUCUCUCUCUCUCUCUCUCUCUCUCUCUCUCUCUCUCUCUCCCGUCGGUCUCUCUCUCUCUCUCCUCGUAACUCCGGCCACGGCUGUGAACGGGGUCGGUACCAAAAUGACUGGGGCGUCAUCCUCUUCCAGCCCCAGCCGUCUCCCGCCUCCAGCCACCGUGGUUUCGCCGGAAAAUGGAGAAGAAGCGGCCGGCGUCGUCCGAUCUUCGCCGCCGUCGAUCUCCCUCCUCCGGCCGCCAUUUCUGGCGAUCAAGGUAUGGAAAUUCAUCCCUUCUGCAUGCUCUAGCUAAUGAUUGGGUAGGAUUGGAUUGAUUCUUAGCGUAGCCAAUUCGAUUUUCGAAUUUAAAUUCGGCCAGUUUUGGGAUCGCGAUUCCGGCCACUUCCAGUCAGUUUUUGGGGUAGGUCCAAGAACAAAAGUGGCUCCAAAUAGGGUGUUAUACCUAGGGUAGGAGUUUGGAACCGUGGUUUUGAGAUUUUCCAGCGAAGCUUUAUCGCUUUGGGCACCCACGCUCUGCCGGCGCGUGCGGCGGCGCGUGGGCACUGUAGAAAAAGUGGUACUGUGUCUCGAUGAGAUCCUUAGGUUGUCACGAGUGUGUAGGAUUUCGCGGAUCUCAAUUCGGACAUCGUUUGACUACCGAACGGAUAUCGCCUAUUGUACGUUAUCCGGGUUCGAUAGGUUGGGACCGUUGGAUGGUCCCAAAUUUAAUAUAUGUCAAUCUAGGUAUUUCUAGGUUCGGGUAGGAAUUCACGGAUUGUGAAUCGGAGCCCCGGAUAUUCCGAAUAAUAAUUUAAAGUUUAUAUUUUAUAUUAACCAUCAGAUCGUACGAUCGUGAGCGAUCCGACCGUCCGAUCUGAACCAAACUCGCAAGACGAGUGUCCUAUACCUUGUAAAACCCAUAGGGACUUUCGGAUCGGAAUAUGGAGGUCGCGGGCCCCGCAGGUCCGUUUGACCCAUGGUUGACCGUGAGUCUCCCGGAGUAAUCUUACCUUCCCAGGGGGGAUUAUCGGGUGCUCGACUAUUGUGGAGGGUUACACAAUAUUAGAAUUAAUUUUUAUAAUUAUAAUUUUAUAUGUUUGUACAAGGGUACAAAAGAGUCUAGAAUGUCAGUUUGGAGUGCUAUACGCACUACCUUAGGUACCUCCCCGGAUUUUGGUUACAUUACAAGUACCACCAAGUGAAAGUUAGGUCUCACGUGGUGUAGGUUAUCCGGCGUGCGGACAGACCCCAUACGUGGCGUUGGUUGUCCCGCGUAUGGGGAGAUUUAUAAUAUGAUGUUCAGGUCUCACGUGGCGUAGGUUAUCCGGCGUUGAGACAGGCCCCAUACGUGGCGUUGGUUGUACCGGCGUAUGGGGAGAUAUGUGAUAUUGUGUUGAGGUCGCGCGUGGCGUAGGUUAUCUGGCGUGUCGACAGACCCCAUAUGUGGCGUUGGUUGUACCGGCGUAUGGGGAGAUAUGUGAUAUGAUGUGCAGGUCUCGCGUGGCGUAGGUUAUCCGGCGUUGAGACAGACUCCAUACGUGGCGUUGGUUGUACCGGCGUAUGGGGAGAUAUUAUGAUAAUAUGGCAUGGUCGCACGUGGCGUAGGUUAUCCGGCGUGUUGACAGACCUCAUACGUGGCGUUGGUUGUACCGGCGUAUGGGGAGAUUAUGUGAAAUACAGAUAAAUGAAAUAAGGUAUCGCCUAAGUGUGGAAUUGGGUUUUAUGGAAGAACUACGUGUGGCUUGAUCCCUCAAGGAGGGUACGUAGGCAGCCUAAGGUUAUUAGGUGCAGCCGCAGACUAAAUGUUAGUCAUAAAAUUUAUUUGAAUUGUUUGUUUAGUGGGUUUGGUAGUAGUUGAGAAUUAUUGGAAGGCCGAAGGCCGGUUGUGUGAAUUGCAUGAAAUUAUAUUGUGCAUGCUGCCAGUUGUGGAUAUUAAAUGCAUUUUUUUUGCAGGUUGUAAUUUUGGGAAAUGUCCAAAUUAUAGAGGAGACUCUGCCGAAAUUUCGGCAGGAAGUCUCGGUCUUUAGUAAGUAGGCCUAGCAUCGGGAUGAUGUUGGGAAUUCCAAAGGGUUCGCCUCGGGUUCUGAAAAACUCAGGGCGGGUCCUUUCAGCUAUGUUCCACUGUGCACUCUACUGUGUUCAUACCUCUAUUGUGUUCGUGCCUGUCUUCGUGCAUCUGCUGUAUUUGUGCCUCUAUUGUGUUCCAUUGUACACUUGCCGUGAUCAGUUGAAUUUCUGCUGCAAUCAUGGAUAAUUGAUAACUCAUAGUGUGAAUAUCCUGAAGCAAACAAAAACUAGGAUAAAUGAGUACACAACAAUUCAAUUAUUCAGUAAGCUGACUAACUGACAUCAAUUUAUUGGAUAAAGAUGGAACAAGUAAAGUAUUAGACAGCGAGAGAAAGGAUGAGAAUGCAACAGUGCUAGCCCUUAUCACAGGAUAAGUAACUUCAUUGACGUUAGCAAUACAAGUUCAUCGAGGUUGGGUAGUAUUCAAAAAAUAUCAAGAUCAAACAUCAUAUGAUCAGUUUCAUGGGAAUCAAUUAUCCAGCUCGUGGAAUCACUCUUAUCCUAAGUAUGAAAUUCAUAACUAGUAUCAUUAUGGGUCGUAUCGGGUUGUGUUCAAUCUUUUAGAGUAGCCCACCAUUCAGAGUAGCCAUGCAAUUUAAAACAAGUCACACGAGUGUGUCUCAGAUCACCACAGUAUGCGCAAUCUCGUCCAUGUGUCAGGGUCGUUAGUUGGGAAGUCAUAAUUUGUGCAUUGGAAGAUGCAUAGGAUACAAGUUUAGUAGAAAUCUGGAUCGGGAUCUGAGCCUGAGUCGGGGUCGGAGUCGAAGUCGGGAUCUGGAUCUGAAUCAUAGACAGAUUUAGGGUUAGGGUCGUCAUUAGGGGUCGUCGUCGUCGUAGUCAGGGUCGAGGUCAUCAUUGUAGUUGGGGACGAGGUCGUCAAAAUAAGAUCAUGAUUCAGGAUCGAGUUCGGAUUCAGGAUCGGGUUUGGGGUCAAAGUCUGCAUCUGUAGGAGCUGAGCCACCUGAACACUCAACUCGGCUAUGGUUGGUUGAGAAGGAAAGAAGAAGUCAGUGGUCCUACCUCCAUGAGGGUUGAAAAAAAUCAUCAAUCCCUAUAGAGGCUGCGGGGUUGGAAACUAGAGACAACAAUUCCAAGCGUGGCUCUGACACCAUGCUAAAAUAUGAGAACUAUGAGAGAAUACUUGUUUGUGGAAAUUUUCUGUGUAUUCUUCUCCUUAUAUGAAGUUAUAUUUAUAAUACAACGGAACUUUAAUGGGCAAGUAAAUAAUAAAUUCUUAUUUCUAUUUACAGUAGGAAAUCAUGAAUUAAAGUAAAUUAAAUAUAGUUAUAAUGGGAAUCUUUUAUGUGUAAGGAAAGAAAGUCAAUGAUCCACAAAUCAGGCCAACAACAAAUUAAACGAAGAGCAAAUCAAAGAAAUCGACGACUUUCAGCACAGCUUGCUAUUGCGCUUUUGGCGAUUCAACAUCCUCAUAUUUUAGCCCAAAUAGACAAAAUUUCUGUUGAAAAAUCGUUGGACGACCACCAAGAUGAUGACUUUGUGUUGGCGUAUGUUGAUACGUUAUGGGAGCCCCACCUUCCUCACAAGAAGUAAAAGAGUGAUAGGGACGAAGAGAGAGAGGGGCUGGGCUUGGUGCCACUAAGUUUUCGAUUUUUAAAUUUUAUUUAAAUAUUUUUUUAAUCAUUUUAUAUUAUUGAUUUUUUAAAAAGUUUAAAGGUCAGUUAGUUCAUUGGUGGGUCCUACAAUGGACACGUGAUUAGUUAACAUCUGAUCAAACAGUCAACUUAACGGAAGGCAUAAAUAGGUCAGACUUGAAAACAUUAGAGUGUAAAUUGAUGAAAUUGAAACCUUAGGGUUCAUAUUGAGAAUGACCCCAAACCUUCAGGGAGUCUUUUGUCGUUAGCCCUAAAUUUUACAUACUGAACAUCAAGCUUGGACAAAGUACAAAACUUUGGAAACUUUCACCAGACAACAGAGUGGUGUUGUCUCCUACUCUUGAUCAAGGAAAAAGACCCCAAAAACAUACAAACUUGCAUUGCAAUUUAAACAUAUAUAUAUAUAUAUAACUCUGUUUACAAACUCAUUGUUCAUAACUCGUGUUAGGAGAUCUAAAUAGUCGCCAUUUCCAUAUUUCCACUUCCAUUAUGGCCUUGUUCAUGUUCUUCAAUGGCAGAAUUUUGUGCGUCAUCAUUGCUAUAAAAAUAAAAGCCAACACACAAGUAGUAGAUGAAGCUACCGAGACUUAGAAACGUUAGCAGUCUGUAAUACUUGUCAAGACGACUCAGAUUUAUGCUGUCAUUGAACCAUCUAUGCCUAAAUGCCAAGAUAAUAAGAGCGGUUAAUAACUUUCCAGUCCCCACGACUAAGUCGCUGGUGUGGGAUCCAUAAUGCUUAGCCAUUUCUUUAUCCUUCUCGUCCACUCUAUCAGCCAAAAGAUCAAUCAAUCCAUCUACGGCUAACCCUUCCAUAAGUCCUAACAGGAAGAACUGUGGAACCAACCAAAACAUGCUCAUAGAAAUAGUUUCUGAAGUGUCAUCUUCAAGCCCUGCCCUCGUAACUUUCCUCAUCCUCUGGAUCUCAACCACCCAAGCAGCAACGCAACAUAACACAGUAGAAGCCAUUCCACAGCCAAUUCUAGCCCGCGUUCGCUUUGGAAUUAGUUUGGGGAAGAGAAAUGAGAUUAUGUACUUCGAAAAGGAGCUAAGCACAUUGAAAUAAACUGCAGGGUCAUAAUUGUGGAUGGGAUUUUUCAAGUUACUCAUUUGUUCGAAAAAGAAGGUGCUCCCUGCUGCCUUUACCAUACUGUAUACAAAGAAGGCUAACCAUGAAGCUACAAUUUCUUUGCGCAAACGUUUUUUCUUCCUCACCUUUUUGUUCAAUGUCCAAAGGUUCUCUCUUUCUGUGACUUGGUGAUGCUCCCCUGCUUGUGCUUCUUUAUUGUUUUUCAAAUAAUCGUUGUAGCCAAACCAGAACAAUAAAUAAGAAACUGCCAUUGCAAUUGUUGAAAUCAUGAAGAUCUGAGUCCAAGUUGUUUUUAAAAGGAAAAGAGGUACCACUGCACCUAAAAACCAUGGAACACCCCAGAAGUCCUUUUUAUCCCUUUCUGCCAUUUCUUUCGUCACCUGUUGAUCACCACCAGCUUCUGUAUACUUUUCUGCUGUUAUUUCUUUCUGUUCGCUAGCUUCUUCCCAUCCUUCCGGUCGUUUGCCAUCAGUGCGUCCUGUUUCUUUAUGUUGGCUUAAACAUUGCUUGUUAAGAAAUUCUUUCAAAGCAGCGGAUCGCCCAGAUUCACCUAAUGUUAAUAGUACCACUGCUCCAUAGAAUAUCCUGGCCAUUGCUGCGUAGUCCUCGCUUUUAUAUUCAUUAGGAAGCCAUAACAGAGAUAGCCCCUGUAUAAUUCACAAGAAUAGCAAUCAAAACAAGCAUAUAGAUAUCAAAAUAUGAACUCCUUGACAUGUAGUAAUAGUUGUCAACAAGUCUUGAACAAUUAAUUCAAUGUUUAUUCUCUUCACAAUAAGGACUUAUGGGUAGCAGAGUGGGUUAGGCUAGUUUGUUAAGGCACUGUGCUCGCCCCCUUGCACUUGAGUUCGAUCCCUCUCCCCGUAUAUUAGAAUAGUUUAGAAUAUGGCUUUGUAAAAAAUUAAAAUUUUAAAAUUAAAAAAAAAAAAAAAAAGACUUGUGGGUAAAACAUGUACUUACAAGAAUAUAGGCAGCAUUUGUGGUGGCAAUUAUUUUGAGACCACCAUUGAAUGUGUGUGAGAAAUGAGCUAGGAAAAUCACCAAUAUGUCUGCUAUCCCUUCUUGCACAUUGGUAACUACGGCAGCUAUUUGAAAAUGUGGAUGAGACCAAUUGUUUUGGAGGUACACUAUCAAGAUAGACAUUAUCGCAUGGUUGACGAAGCUAUGGCUCAAAACCAACCCUACAUUAUAUAUAUAUAUGUGUGUGUGUGUAGAAAUAAGAAGAAAAUUGAUUAGAAAUUAGUUUGAAUCACACUCUUUAAAAUAUAUCAUUAUACUUUCAUUUUAAAGUAUCUCUGAGAUAAAUACCCUGGAUGCAUAUUGUAGCCUUGGAAAAGUAGAGGUACUUAUGGAUGCACUCUCUCACAAAGUGAAUGAGUGCUCCCAAACCCAUUAUUGAGGAGGGGAGUGCGGAUAAUCUUCAGUCGAUGUAAAGGAAGUGAGGGAGGGUGUUCUGCUUUUGAAAGCAAAAUCUGCAGCCUUCACAACUAAUUAAAUUAGUUCCCUCUUCUCUUGCAAAACGAAAUGCGUAUUAGCCAAAAAUAAUAGCAAUGAAAACAUAUAAUGCAAAGGAAGAUGCAAUCUGUGAGUGUGAUUGUUUACUCAGAGAGAGAGAGAGGUGAGGAGAAGGUGCACUCUGUGAGAAAAACUAAUGCAAAGGAAGUUUGUUUAGGCAGUGUGGAAGAGGCAAGUGAGAAAGACAUAUAUAUAGUAAGCCACCAUUGUAAUAGCAACCAAAAAGAGAAGGACUUCCUCUUGUUUUCAAUUGUUGUUUUUAAUGAAAAGAGAAGAGAAGACUUUCUCUUCUUUUUCUUAAUUUUUUAAAUAAAAAAAGACGAAGACUUUUUCUUGAUCAUAAAAAUAAAAAGACGAAGACUAAUUUCUUACAUAUUUUAUAAAUAAAAAAAAUCAAAACCAGAAGACCGAGAGGUGCAUGCGAUGAUGCGAAAGACUUGAGAAGAGCAGCAACAAUAUAUAUAUUCCAUUGAAAGUCUUUGAAUAUUUGAUCGAAAUAAAGAAAUACCAUGACAAAGUAAACGAAUCUAAGAAGAGCAACUUGUACGUCCAAAGUAUUCAACAACUACCAUGUGUGACGAAAUUAUUUUAUUUUAUUUUUCUAAUAACUAGAGUUGCAUUUCCUUCGUCUAUGGGAUGGCUGAUGACAGCUAAGUUUGUACUUCCUUUUUUAAUAAAAAUGAUCACUCAAGUUUGGAAACUCAACCAGAUGGUCUGAUAUUAAAAAGGUGCUUAUUUCGCUUUUGAAUAUUUUAAUAUUUGCAUCUUUUGAAUAUAUAUAGCCCGUCAACGAAAAUAUAUUUUAAAGUGUUUGUUUGUAUUCAGUACAUGAAUGAAUGUACUGAGUACAAACAAACAUACCCAAAGUCUAUUUAUAACAUAACAAAAGGGUUUUAACUUCUUUUAAAUUACAAAACUGUCAUUGAUUUCUUAAAAUAAACACAAUCCAAAAACCUCAUAAAAAAUCUCAAAACACUCAAUAGGGCAUCAAAGUAAUUUAAUAAUUAAAAUUAAAUUCAAUAGGACCAGCUAUCAUUUUUGAAUUUUUUUUAAAGAAAGAAAUGUGUUGACACGUGGCCCCUAUUGGUUGGGGGACUUUUUUUAUAUUUAAAAAUAGUAUAGCCGCCCGGCUAUACCCAAAUUUUUUUUUUAUAAAACAAAAUAUACUAGAGGCGGAAGGCAUUUUUUUUUAAUUUUUUUUUAAAAUUGAAUUUAAUAAAUAGCAUAGACGGGCGGCUAUAGUCUUUUACAUACGUGUUCAUAUAUAUAUAUAUAUAUAUAUAUAUGUACACACACACAUAUGUAGGUACGUAUUUUUCAACAAUACAUUCGUGUUCCAUACACGUCUCACUUUUUUUUAAAAAGCAAACAUACAAUAGGCGUAUUGUACAUGUACGUACGUAUUUCUAAUUUUUUUACUAGUAUUUUUUAUAAAAUUUUCAGUAACACACACAAAUUCACAUAUUAUUGAAUAAGAAUAACAUAUGGUAUAAAAAUUAUAUUAAAAUAUCAAAUAGUGGAAUAUUCAUAUCUACUUUGGAUAUGUUGCAAAUUAAUAUCCAUAAGGUACACUCCUUUUUAUUUUUUUAAUAUUUUUUUAGUUAAUUUUACUCUUUUUUGUUCUUUCGCUUUCCUAUUUUACCUUUGAUGACGUGGCAAAUGAGCACUUUGGGGAGGUGCUGAUGUGUGAAAAAUAAAUUAAUGUAGGUAAGGGUAUAAUAGGAAUGAGAAAAAACCCACAAAAAAAAAAGUGAUUAAAAAAUAUUUUAAAACAAAAGGGAGUGUAAGUGGAGAAAAUAGGGGUAGGAAAAUCCGCUCCCAUAACAAGAAUAAAUUAUGCAUUUUGGAAGCUACGAUUGCAGGUUUUGCUUGCCAUGAGAGGAUUCUUCAGAGCUGAAUCAAUAUUGAGGGUUCAAACUCUGACUCGCGCGGGGCUUCAGUGGGGUCAUCGCAACAUUCUUCUCUACCCAUGCAUUGUCUCGGUGAGAAACUGGAUUGGAAACUACUACUACUUUUCCGAGGCUACUACACGCAUCCGAGGUGAUUCAUCCCUGUUGAAUUAACAUGCACUCAUUCACUGAAUUUUAUCUUAUAUGCUUCAUUCGAACCAACUUAGUUUCUGAUUUCAUCUGUUGCUCUGUGAUGGCAUAUAUAUGUAAUGUAUAUAUAGCUCUGGUUUGCAGCCAUAGCUUCAUAAACCACGCGUUAGUGAAUAUCUUGAUAACUUACCUCACGGAUAAUUGGAGUACUUCACAUUUUGAAAUGGCUGCCCUCGUUACAAAUGUCCAAGAAGGGGUAUCGGGCAUCAUGGUGAUUGUUCUUGCACGUAUAUCAAGCACGCACAUGGCUCGUUUUAAAACGAUUGCUUCCACAAAUGCUGCUUAUUUUUCUUGUAAGUCUUCUUGCAUUAAAAGUUCAAAUUAAGCUGAUUGAACAACCGUUUCCAAUUUCAUCUUGGAUCCCGUCACUUGAUCUCCACGUGUGCGUAUCUUUGCAAAAAUGUAAAAUUUUAAAUAAAAGAAAUCUCUAAAACUCGAUUGUAUAUGCAUACAGUUGUAUUUGCUGCCUACAUAUACAUACUGAGGCUAAGGUAUACUAGGUGCACAAAGAAGCACAAAGAAAAAAGUUUUGGCCACUCAUAAAACUCAAGGACGAAAAGGGUUCUUUCACAGAAGUGAUAGCUAUGAGGUCGGCCUUCUUCGCAUACAGUUUGGUGGAUGCAACAGGGAGCACCUUCUUUUUUCAACAAAUGAGAAAUUUUGGAUAGUCCGAUUGGGUCAAUCGAGUUCCUUCCAUUAUAUUUCACAGUACUUAGGGACUUCUCAAGUUUCUUAAUCUCAUUUUUGUACAACUUACUGAUUCCAAAGCACUGGAGAAAGGCUACGGGUACGCUUACGCUGGUGAGAAUUGGCUGCGGAUUGGCUUGUUCUAUGCUAUGUUGUGUUGCUGCUUGGCAGGUUGAGGGAAAGAGAUUGAGGGCAAUUAGCAAUGAAGGGCUUGAAGAUGACAUGUCUACGACUAUUCCUAUGAGCAUUUCGUGGUUACUUCCACAGUUCGUCCUUUUGGGAGUAAUGGAAGGGCUAGCCCUAAAUGGAUUGACUGAUUUCCUUGCUGAUCGAAUUGCUAAUAAUGAUGCACUAAGGGCCACUUAUUAUGCAUCCCACAUCUCUGACCUCAUCCUUGGUGUUGGAAAAUUAAUUACAGCUUCUACCAUAAUAUUGUUUAGGCGAAGUUGGUUCCAUCACAACAUAAAUGGGAGUCGCCUGGAUCGUUUUUUUGAGCUAUUAACUUACCUAAGUCUUGUUAACCUAAUUUACUACGUGUGCAUCUCCUUAUACUUUUAUCGCAAUGACAAAUCACGAAAAUCUGCCAACAAUGGAAAUGAACAGGGGAUUGAUGCUCAUGAGAUUGGUGACGUUGAGGCCCCAGAGCAGGAGACCAAUAAAGAUGACGAGGAGGACGACAACCUUAAUUAGUGGUAGUGUGGACUUCGGAACCCACCAAAGCGCUCAAGAAGUGUAGUUACAAAAACGGUGAUUGCUGCCGUUAGUGAGCUGAUUUUGCUUCUCUGCAAUUUCCCGGUAAAGCAGGGGUCUUAUUUGUUCUCUGGGUUUAUGUUAUGUAAAUACGCAUUGUGAAUCUGUGAUGCAUGGUUUUCUUUCCCGGUUCUGUUGUUAGAACAUAAAAUUAUAUUUCACUUCCGCAUAUUAUAUAUCUUCUUACACUAAUUUCUGUUAGUCCUCUUCCUUGUCAAGUAACCCAAAUUACAAAUGGAAUAAAAUUUUCUGGGGAGGGGGGGCGAGUAAAUAGCAUUACUGUUUGAAAAUAUAAAAAAAAGCACCAAAAUUCUUUGCACCUAUGACAUCUUGCGUGCCAAAUUCAAAACUGUGGAAAAGUUUUUUGCCAUCCCAAGUUAUUUCUACGACUAAUUCCUUAUUAUCACUCCAUUCAUUCCCAACAUGAAGAAUGAAACAAAUGGACAUGUUUAAUUACCGCCUUGCAAGAUCCUUGAAUUGAACUGAGAGUUUAUGCUAACCAAGACUGCAACAGCUUCGUGUCUGCAUCCAUGCUCACUCCAGUUCUCAGGUUUCAGUUGAAAUUAUUUUCUUUUUCCUGCUGGAACUGUCAAAUGCAAUAACACCUGGUAGAAAAUUCAAUCAGCUCAAGAGCUUCCUUGCUUCUGCCUUUUUUCAACAUUGAAUUCAACGUCCAGGAGGUUCGUUAUGCCAGC
This 12943-nucleotide long non-coding RNA is filed under the name Prunus persica (peach). RNAcentral's name for it is "long non-coding RNA (PPER_LNC000359)". Lineage: Eukaryota; Viridiplantae; Streptophyta; Magnoliopsida; Rosales; Rosaceae. The record is from RNAcentral.